This 5060-nucleotide long non-coding RNA is filed under the name Homo sapiens (human). RNAcentral's name for it is "HSALNT0375377". Lineage: Eukaryota; Metazoa; Chordata; Mammalia; Primates; Hominidae. The record is from RNAcentral.
GUGAAACCCCAUCUCUACAAAAAAUUUAAAAAUUAGCCUAGUGGGGUGUUGCAUGCCUGUAGUCCCAGCUACUCAGGGCCCCCACACCACAACCUGGAAGCUCUUCACACAGGAAGCUGAGCAGUUGGGGCCUGUUUGUCUCCCAUCUUUCUGAGAUUCACUGUCUUUCAUAGCCCAGUACUCAGUGCUUCGAAAACUGUUGCUUCGUAUAUUUUGCCUGAUUUUGUGGUUAUUUCAGGCAGAAAGUUAAUACAGUUCUUGUACUGUGUCUUGACUAGAAACGAGUCCCACCUGAACUCUCAGAGGUCUUUGGUUUAAUAAAAUAUGAUACCUUACAGCUAAAGCUUCUUACUACUCUUUUCCUGGAGAUUUGGCUGUCUGAUAUCUGCUGCCUCAUUAUUUUUACUUAAAAAGGCGGAAUUACUUUGCAACACCUUGUACACAGUGAUAUGUCUUAUAAAACAAUCACUAGAUAUUAUGAACAAUGUUUGUAGGUGCCUUAGGUGUCUGUCUUGAAACCCUGAGAACUAGGAGUGCUUACCCCAAAAUGACAGUCACUGGUUCCUCCUUGGAAUGAGACAUCGCAAAUUCCAGGGGCAUCUCUGGAGGUGCUGCCCCACCAGGGGAUAUGUGGAAUCAGUUGAUUCACUUACUUGUGAUCAUCUCUCCACGCACAGGUGGGCUUCUGGCCUCUCACAGAGUCUGAAGCAUGAGCUGCCUCAGAUCUAUUGGAAGCAAAUGGGAUAGAAAUCUAAGAAAAGCAAAUGUGAAAUUACUGAUGUCUGAUCAAGCAGGCAAUACAUUUGACUUGGUGUUUCAAAAUAAAGUCUCAGUUUUUGUAUAGGUGGGGUGGUGUAUACUUUGCCAAAGAAUCUUAUGUGAAAGGACCAAUUCUCACCCAAGUUUGAAAGGUUUGGUUUCGUGUUUGGUUUUUGGUUUUGCUCACUCUCCCUCUACGUCUAAACACCUUAGGAGUCCUGUCACUUACACUUUUUGGGCCUCAGCUGGCCUGUUGUUUCUGUUUGUUACUUUGUUUUUAUCAUUUUCCUCCUGUAGUGUGUAGAGGAGAAUGUUGUGAAGGCAUGGAUCUUUUCCAUUGAACGACCUGAAUUUCGGUCUGUAAUAACUAACUCCUGAAGAAAGUGCAUCUUCUGUGUCUUGUGUCUCUAUGUUUUAGUCCUGCUUGUUGCUAAAUGAGACAACAGAAAACUGAAGACUGCAUUUCUAGAAAGGUUUCAGAGAAAGGCUGUGUUUUGAUUUAGAACUGGUUUUUUUGUUUUUUGUUGCACAAAAACAAACCUCUCAGGCCCUUUAAAAAAAAAGAGAGAGAGAGGUGUGGCCUCCCUAUGUUGUCCAGGCUCCUUGGGAACUCCUGGACUCAAACAGUCCUCCUGCCUUGGCCUCCCGAAGUGCUGGGAUUCCAGGCGUGAGCCAUUGCACCCGGCUGACAUGCAAGUUCUGAGGAAAGCCAGGCUGUCUUUCUUGAGUCACGGAGUAGUUGUCUUCAUGACAUGUUGAUACCAGGUGAUAAUGGUCAGUGAAAGAGAGAGGUUAGUCCUUUGUAUUAGGUGGCAUCCUUCCCUCACACCCAAGCUGCAGGCCCAGCGUAGGAAUGGGACCUCCACAGCCACACAGGUCUCAUCCUGUGUGGCUGUGAAGGUCGCUAUAUGACUCUGGAGGUAGCUAUGUGACUAUGGAGGUCUCGUCCCGUGUGGCUGUGGAGGUCGCUGUGUGACUGUGGAGGUCACGUCCCAUGUGGCUGUGGACAUCUUGUCUGUGUGGCUGUGGAGGUUGCUGUGUGACUAUGGAGGUCUCGUCCUUUGUGGCUGUGGACGUCUUGUCUAUGUGACUGUGGAGGUUGCUGUGUGACUGUGGAGGUCGCGUCCCGUGUGGCUGUGGAGGUCACUGUGUGACCAUGGAAGUCGCGUUCCGUGUGGCUGUGGAGGUCGCUGUGUGACUAUGGAGGUCUCUCUCGUCCGUGUGGCUAUGGAGGUCUGUGUGGGAGUAUGGAGGUCACAUCCCGUGUGGCUGUGGAGGUCGCUGUGUGACUGUGGAGGUUGCUGUGUGACUAUGGAGGUCGCUAUGUGACUAUGGAGGUCGCUGUGUGACUAUGGAGGUCUCAUCCAUGUGGCUGUGGAGGUCUCUGUGACCAUGGAGGUCACGUCGCAUGUGGCCGUGGAGGUCGCUGUGUGACUAUGGAGGUCACGUCCCAUGUGGCUGUGGAGGUCGCUGUGUGACCAUGGAGGUUACUGUGUGCCUAUGGAGGUCGCUAUGUGACUAUGGAGGUUGUUGUGUGACUAUGGAGGUCUCGUCCAUGUGGCUGUGGAGGUCUCUUUGUGACUAUGGAGGUCACGUCCCAUGUGGCCGUGGAGGUCUCUGCGUGACUGUGGAGGUCACGUCCCGUGUGGCUGUGGAGAUCUCUGUGUGACUAUGGAGGUUUCAUCCAUGUGGCUCUGAAGGUCUCUGUGUGACUAUGGAGGUCGCGUCCCAUGUGGCUGUGGAGGUCGCUGUGUGGCUAUGGAGGUCGCGUCCCGUGUGGCUGUAGAGGUCGCUGUGUGACUAUGGAGGUCUCGUCUGUGUGGCUGUGGAGGUCGCUGUGUGACUAUGGAGGUCGCGUCCCAUGUGGCUGUGGAGGUCGCUGUGUGACUAUGGAGGUCUCGUCCGUGUGGCUGUGGAGGUCGCGUGUGUGACUAUGGAGGUCUCGUCCAUGUGGCUGUGGCGGUCUCUGUGUGACUAUGGAGGUCUCGUCUGUGUGGCUGUGGAGGUCUUUGGGUGACUAUGGUGGUCACGUCCCAUGGUCCCAUGUGGCUGUGGAGGUCGUGUGUGACUAUGGAGGUCUCGUCCACGUGGCUGUGGAGGUCUUUGUGUGACUAUGGAGGUCACGUCCCAUGUGGCUGUGGAGGUCUCUGUGUGACUAUGGAGGUCAUGUCCCACAGCUCCAUGGCCUUCCUUGUUCUGUCUUCCACAUCUGAGAGCAGGGAUUGCCCUUAUCCGCAGUGAGCAUUUUGUUUAAGUAGCAGUGAGUUCACUCCAGGCAAUGCUUUGACACUAUAAAUAGACGUGUAUUUGACAUUCACACACGUGUCUGUUGAGCUAAUACAGACAAUCAUUUGAUGAACCUGCUAGUUAGGAAGUAGCUGUGAUGUGAGAAGAGACAGUGCUGGCUGUAGAUAUACACCAAAUUUCCUCACUUGGCUGUUGAUACAAGGAAAGCAUCUUGAUACUAAUAGGAGUAGAAUGCAAAUGAUACUUCUCUACCUCCGAUCAUUGGAUUACAUUCCUUUUCUCUGGGGUGAAUCUUUAAAAUGCUAAUGGCCUGAGUGCACCAACAUGAAGCACACAGUACCAUCUGAUUAGUUGCUUUAUGCAUCCAGAGAGGGUAUUUCUAAAUCUCAAAGUAUGAUUGAGUGUCAAAAAUCCAUUUGGGGGAGGGGCAACUCCUGUGUUGUGCUGCUUCUAUAACAGCACAAAAAAGUCUUCCAGUAUGUUCCUGCCAGCAAGGAGUUGGCAGGGCGGGGAGAAACAAAGGCUGUCGCCUUUCCAGUGAUGAGUGCCUGUAAUAUGAAGCCGGGAGUCCUGACUCAGCACCUACAGCAAACCUGGGUUACCCAGGGCUUGCCACUUGUUUUGAGAGGUUCUUAAAUUCUUAAUUUUAAAAACAAAGUAAAUUGCAGUAUGACUCAUAUGAAUAGUAAAUGUGCACCAAAUAGGACACAUAGGAGGCAGAGUGGGUUAUAAAAUAUUUAGUCAUUUGCCACAACCAGGAAAAGAUGGUUUUAAGGAUAUUGGUUCUUGGUCUAGGAAUUAAAACAUCCAGAAAAUGGUCCUAAGUUACUGUUGAUUUUUGCUGAAGAAAAUACAUUUUCUUCAUGUGUUAUAUAAAAAACUUACUUUGUAAUAAUUAUGUUUGUGGGAUUCACUAAUGUUUAACUACUGGAGCAAAACCUUUGUCGUAAAGUUCUCUUGGUUGUUUGAGGAGACAAAAGGAUGGCAGAUCUUUGACCAAAUUAUGAAGAUAUGGAAUUCAAAGGGAUGGAAUUGAAGAGUUUGAGAAAGGAGUUAAAGUAAAUACAGAAUGUGGGUAGGAAUUCCGUUUCUAUAGUAAGACAAAAUGUAGGGGGAAAGUUUGUAUUUCUUUGUUAUUAUGCUGAUAAUAAGCUUGCUAGAAAACAGGAUUAUAAUUAAAAACAGGAUUAUAAUUAUUCCACAUCCUCUUUUGAUCUUUGUAAAUAUGCAUGUAUUUUAUAUGGUAGUAAUCACUGUAUGUAUUUAACUUUGGUUAAUAUGUAGCAGCUCUCCGAUAUUUAGUAUUGGAAUUAUUAAUACUUGUGUAAGUAUUAGUAAAAUGAAUAGCUUUAUAACUUUAAUUUACCUUUUUUCCUAGGGGUAUAUUGUAUCCUAAUUAAAUUCAGAUUAUUUAUCUAAAGUGUUUUUAUUCUGUAUAUCCCCACAUUUUUCGAACCCCACAUUGGUUCAAAACUUGUUAGAAAAACCAUAUUUCUGUUUAUAAUAUUUCAUAUUGGAAUUGAAUGAGUUUAAGUUUUUGUACCUAAGAUUGGAAAGGAAAUUUUAUUAGAACUGGUAAGAAUGUACAAGCAUUGUUUCUUUGAGGUGAGUAAAAAUAUUGUGAGAAAAAAUUUUCUGCUUCAAAAAAUGGUGUCAGCUGGGCACGGUGGCUCAUGCCUGUAAUCCCAGCACUGUGGGAGGCCGAGGCGGACAAAUCACCUGAGGUCAGGCGUUUGAGACCGGCCUGGCCAACAUGGCGAAACCCCUCCUCUACUGAAAAUACAAAAAUUAACCUGUGCGUGGUGGCAGGUGCCUAUAAUCCCAGCUACUCGGGAGGCUGAGGCAGGAGAAUCGCUUGAACCCGGGAGGUGGAGGUUGCAGUGAGCCAAGAUCCUGCCUUUGCACUCCAGCCUGGGUGACAGAGCAAGACUCCAACUCAAAAAAAAAAGAUUUCUUCUUGUAUUAGGGGUGUUCACAGAAUAAAAAAGAAAGUUUAUUAAUUAAACAAACUGAAGUGAAUUACACAUCUAGCCUGCAGAAAAAUAAAUAGGAAA